UACAGAGGUCUCAAGCGUUGUUCGGAUUCAUUGGGCGUAAAGGGUGCGUAGGUGGCGCUGUAAGUCAGGUGUGAAAUUUCGGAGCUUAACUCCGAAACUGCAUUUGAUACUGCGGUGCCUGAGGACUGGAGAGGAGACUGGAAUUUACGGUGUAGCAGUGAAAUGCGUAGAGAUCGUAAGGAAGACCAGUGGCGAAGGCGGGUCUCUGGACAGUUCCUGACACUGAGGCACGAAGGCCAGGGGAGCAAACGGG
This 253-nucleotide ribosomal RNA is filed under the name uncultured bacterium. Its description in RNAcentral is "partial 16S ribosomal RNA". It matches the Rfam family "Bacterial small subunit ribosomal RNA", at positions 524 to 776 of the family's 1533-position model. The record is from RNAcentral.